Molecule: ribosomal RNA, 253 nt
Filed under: uncultured bacterium
Lineage: Bacteria
Description: partial 16S ribosomal RNA
Rfam family: Bacterial small subunit ribosomal RNA
Source: RNAcentral
UACAGAGGGUGCAAGCGUUAAUCGGAAUUACUGGGCGUAAAGGGCGCGUAGGCGGAUAUAUAAGUUAUGUGUGAAAUCUCUGGGCUUAACCUGGGAACUGCACAUAAUACUGUGUGUCUAGAGUAGAGUAGAGGAAAGUGGAAUUUCCGGUGUAGCGGUGAAAUGCGUAGAUAUCAGGAGGGACACCGGUGGCGAAGGCGGCUUUCUGGACAGUUACCGACGCUGAGGCACGAAAGCUAGGGGAGCAAACAGG